This 329-nucleotide ribosomal RNA is filed under the name uncultured eukaryote. RNAcentral describes it as "partial 18S ribosomal RNA". It matches the Rfam family "Eukaryotic small subunit ribosomal RNA", at positions 1470 to 1796 of the family's 1831-position model. The record is from RNAcentral.
CCCUUAGAUGUUCUGGGCCGCACGCGCGCUACACUGAUGCAUUCAACGAGUCUAAAACCUGCUCUGAUAGGGGUGGGUAAUCUUUUGAAUGUGCAUCGUGAUUGGGAUAGAUGCUUGCAAUUUUUCAUCUUCAACGAGGAAUGCCUAGUAAACGCAAGUCAUCAGCUUGCAUUGAUUACGUCCCUGCCCUUUGUACACACCGCCCGUCGCUCCUACCGAUUGAAUGAUCCGAUGAAUAUCAUGGAUUGAGGAUGCAAGUAGGUUAGCCUAUCUUCAUCUUCGAGAAGUGAAGUAAAUCUUAUCAUUUAGAGGAAGGAGAAGUCGUAACA